RNAcentral lists this ribosomal RNA (549 nucleotides) under Fusarium oxysporum f. sp. ciceris. Its description in RNAcentral is "eukaryotic LSU rRNA". The stretch from base 168 to 321 matches the Rfam family "5.8S ribosomal RNA". Lineage: Eukaryota; Fungi; Ascomycota; Sordariomycetes; Hypocreales; Nectriaceae. The record is from RNAcentral.
ACCUGCGGAGGGAUCAUUACCGAGUUUACAACUCCCAAACCCCUGUGAACAUACCAAUUGUUGCCUCGGCGGAUCAGCCCGCUCCCGGUAAAACGGGACGGCCCGCCAGAGGACCCCUAAACUCUGUUUCUAUAUGUAACUUCUGAGUAAAACCAUAAAUAAAUCAAAACUUUCAACAACGGAUCUCUUGGUUCUGGCAUCGAUGAAGAACGCAGCAAAAUGCGAUAAGUAAUGUGAAUUGCAGAAUUCAGUGAAUCAUCGAAUCUUUGAACGCACAUUGCGCCCGCCAGUAUUCUGGCGGGCAUGCCUGUUCGAGCGUCAUUUCAACCCUCAAGCCCCCGGGUUUGGUGUUGGGGAUCGGCGAGCCCUUGCGGCAAGCCGGCCCCGAAAUCUAGUGGCGGUCUCGCUGCAGCUUCCAUUGCGUAGUAGUAAAACCCUCGCAACUGGUACGCGGCGCGGCCAAGCCGUUAAACCCCCAACUUCUGAAUGGUGACCUCGGAUCAGGUAGGAAUACCCGCUGAACUUAAGCAUAUCAAUAGCCGGAGGAAA